RNAcentral lists this long non-coding RNA (1332 nucleotides) under Homo sapiens (human). Its description in RNAcentral is "long non-coding RNA NONHSAT171769.1". Lineage: Eukaryota; Metazoa; Chordata; Mammalia; Primates; Hominidae. The record is from RNAcentral.
CAAGUCCCUCUGUGGGAGCUGUCCAGUUUCUCCUGGAGACAGGCAGAGGGGGCGGGGCCCCAGGACUCCUGGGCUGCCCACCUCAAAGCCCUUGGCCCAGUCCCCUGUGCAGACUUCUGGCACAGAGGCCCGCAUCCCAGGCUGAGCUCCCUGGGGCCAACCACAGAAGGUCCAAGUGCUCUGCGUUCCUGCCUAUGUUUUUAAUUACCCCACUUACUUUCCCAUUCAUCUUUCCCUUCCCAGUCCUUUCUGUACAGCCCCCAGACUAAUGUGCCUCAAAUCCUGAUCUCACUGAAUUCCUUCCCUGGCUCAGAGACUUCUAUGGCUCCAUUCUGUCCAGGCUCGGCAUUUAGCGUUCAUACACACACCCCUCUCCAAGGGCGACGGCUGUUCCUCUUUUCUCUCCUCUGAUUCCGCCUGGGCUCCCUGUCAUCUCCUGUCCCGCCACCUCCCACCUCCAGACCCUUGGCCAGACUGUUGCCUUCCUGGAUCUCCUUCCUUACUCUCUCCUUUCCACUAUCUAAAUGUUAACUUUCCUUUCAGGUUCCCCUCACACAGAGCGGAAGCACAGCCCUGGCAUCAAGUGGGAGCAUGGCCCAGGGCAAGGAGCUCUGGGAGUGCAGCCUGGGGCCUUGAAUGACCCGGAGGACUGGAUUUGAGGAGGGCGCCUCCUGAACCUUCUUCUGUCCUCUAGAGGGACUGCACCAGAUGGCAGCUUCCUGUGAGCGGGAGCCCUCAGGUCAGGAAUUGAGGGUGCAUCCAGCUGUGAGCCAGGGGCCAUGGAGCAAGGCUCACCCGCUUCCCAGGAGGUUCUCAAGGGCUGGGCUCUCAGGUAGAGAAACUGAAGCUCAUCAGACCUCUCGGCCACGGCUACUUCAGGCUCCUAGGAGACUCACCUGCCUGUAAAGAUGGUACCAGGAGCUAACAAUUGCUAGUGAAGUCUAAUAUGGGAGCUGCUAGCCACACGCGCUUCUGAGCAUUUGAAAUGCUGCUGUUCCCAAUUACAAUGUGUUAAAGGUGUAAAAUAUAUGCCAGAUUUUGAAGACAUUGUGCCAAAAAAGGUAAAAUUUUUAUUAAUUAUUUUAUAUUGGGUCCAUAUUGAAACUAUAUAUAUGUGUGUAUAUAUAUGAGUGUGUGUGUAUAUAUAUAUAUAUAUAUAUAUUUUUUUUUUUUUUUUUUGAGAUGGAGUCUCACUCUGUCACCCAGGCUGGAGGGCAGUGGUGCAAUCUUGGCUCACUGCAACCUCCACCUCCCGGGUUCAAGUGAUUCUCCUGCCUCAGCCUCCCAACUGGCUGGAAUUACAGGCACAUGCCACCACGCCUGGCUAAUUUU